This 406-nucleotide ribosomal RNA is filed under the name uncultured bacterium. Its description in RNAcentral is "partial 16S ribosomal RNA". It matches the Rfam family "Bacterial small subunit ribosomal RNA", at positions 30 to 526 of the family's 1533-position model. The record is from RNAcentral.
AUUGAACGCUAGCGGCAGGCCUAACACAUGCAAGUCGAACGAGUGGCGGACGGGUGAGUAAUGUCUGGGAAACUGGCUGCUGGCGGGGGAUAACUACUGGAAACGGUAGCUAAUACCGCCUACCAUCGGAUGAGACAAGAUGGGAUUAGCUAGUAGGUGGGGUAAAGGCUCACCAAGCCGACGAUCCCUAGCUGGUCUGAGAGGAGGACCAGCCACACGGGGACUGAGACACGGUCCAGACUCCUACGGGAGGCAGCAGUGGUGAAUAUUGCGCAAUGGGCGCAAGCCUGAUGCAGCCAGGCAGCGUGUAUGAAGAAGGCCUUCGGGUUGUAAAGUUCUUUCAGCGGGGAGGCGUUACCCGCAGAAGAAGCACCGGCUAACUCCGUGCCAGCAGCCGCGGUAAUUC